RNAcentral lists this ribosomal RNA (407 nucleotides) under uncultured bacterium. RNAcentral describes it as "partial 16S ribosomal RNA". It matches the Rfam family "Bacterial small subunit ribosomal RNA", at positions 30 to 526 of the family's 1533-position model. The record is from RNAcentral.
AUUGAACGCUGGCGGCAGGCCUAACACAUGCAAGUCGAGCGGAGAGGCGGACGGGUGAGUAAUACUAAGGUAUGGGCAACGUAGUGGGGGAUAACGAUCGGAAACGGACGCGAUAACUGAAUCCUAUUACCAUAGCCUAGGUCGGAUUAGCUUGUUGGUGUGGUAAUGGCGAACCAAGGCCACGAUGCGUAACUGGUCUGAGAGGAUGAUCAGUCACACUGGAACUGAGACACGGUCCAGACUCCUACGGGAGGCAGCAGUGGGGAAUAUUGGACAAUGGGCGAAAGCCUGAUGCAGCCAUGCCGCGUGUGUGAAGAAGGUCUUCGGAUUGUAAAGCACUUUAAGUUGGGAGGCGUUACCCGCAGAAGAAGCACCGGCUAACUCUGUGCCAGCAGCCGCGGUAAUUC